GGAAGAAGAAGACGCUGCACGACUACGCGGCGGAGUUCACGGAGCUGGCGGUGAAGCGGCACCUGCUGGAGCGCGGCGCCGCCGGCGAGGCCGCCGUGGUGGAGACGCUCUACUGCACCUCCUGCGAGCUGCCCAUGCGGGUGCGGCGCGACCGCAUCCUCGAGCACCUCUCCUCGGGCCGCCACUACCGCAACCGCCGCCUCGGCCGCCAGCACGGCCUGCGCGCCCCGCUCCUCCUAUCUGCAGGUCCAGACCUUGGCGCUAGCCUCCCCCUCCAGCUCGAUCCUCCUUCCCUGCUUUCUCAGCCUUCCUUUAUCCUCUCGGCCAACCCUUGCAUCACCAGCGCCGGGACCAGCACGAGCUACAGCAUGGUCCCGUCUCCGCCCUCCUGCCCCAAGGCGUUGAUCCCYGUUCCCCCCGGCGCUGUCAGCUCCACAACGAGCAUCGCGUCUGCCAGAGAAGACCAGACGCCCUCUACCUCCACCAGUCGCUCUUCGGCGUUCGCUGCCUUCCAUGUGAGAAGCACGCCCGCUCCCUCAAAGCAGACCGGCCAAAGGCUCCUUGUUCCUGAGGUCUCCGACAGCGCCGUUCCCGGAGGGGCGGCGGGACGGAGCAGCAGUACUGCUAGCAGUAUCGGCAUCGGCCUCGCCCUCUUUGGCGUAGGGCUCGUUGACAAAGCGUUGUUUCAGAGUUUAAUGGAAGAGAAUAGUUGCUGUUUGCUUUACAUCGUGGAAAAUCAGCUGCAGGAGGUGGAACGUGCCUUCAGCGCGGAAUUUUUGGCCAAUACCAGGGUGCUGCGGCAACAGGAUGCUGACGUUGUGCUCAGUGAUCAACGGGUCUCUGGAGCCAUUAUUUCUUCACCACCUGAAGAAGCUUCUGAGAUUGUAAUAGAUGCUUUACGAGCUGGUGGAAUUUUUUAUAAUGCUGCUGUGCAUGAUAUAGAUAUUAUCAGUUUGUUGUUGGGAGAGAGUGCACCAGAUACAGUAUUUUCACUGGGACAUGCAUUCUGUGCAGAUAUGGCCUACUUGAAGGAUGCAGACACUGUAGCGGUCAGCAUGAAAUUCCCUAGCGGAGCAAUUGUCACUUUGGACGUCAGUCAGCACUGCACUAAAAGCUGUGAUCAGAGACUAGAGGUUCAUGGUUCUCAAGGAACGUUACGGGUAGAUAAUCAGAAUCCCUUGGGAAUUACAGAGCAUGGAACUUCUGUAUCCAUCUAUUCACAGACCCACGCCGAUCGUUUCAGAGACGCGCACAGAGAGCUCUUUCGACACUUUCUUAGAACCCUGAAAGGCAAAGAACCUCCCGCGAUAACCAAAGAACAGUUUCUCUGGGCGAUUCAGGUAGCUGCAGCUGCUGAGCAGUCCUGGAGAAAUGGAUCUGCUGUUGACUUGCGCAAUGAAGCAAUAGAUUCRUCUGUAAUCAAGACUGAAAUAAUGUGACACGCACUGCCGGGUUUUGAGGUGAAGGAUAAUCUUUGAGCUGUGCUACAGUGAAGUCGUCUUACCUAGUGAUGUCUCCACUGUUACCUUCCCUACCUAAAAGACUGACUUUUUUACAUUUCCACUGGAAACGCCCAGAACUUGGAGGCACUUUCGAGCUAGAAGGGCUCCGUGCUGGUGCUGCGGAUGCCGCUUAGCACAGCGGCCAGGACCCUCCAGAGAAAUGACGUGCGCUUUUGUCCAGGCGGCGUUUUCUCCUGGAGAGCUUUGUUGCUUGUGGAGUGUUGUUUUCUUGGGAAAAGAGCCGCGCUCCUCGGGAUGCGGUAAGGAGGUGUAAACCACUGCCGCUGCGAUGGGAGCUGCGGAAACGAGACGGCGUAACGCUCGAGACRAGGAGAGCGUUCAGCUGGUCCGGGCUCGCUUCCCUUCAGUGUGCGCAGGAGCGCGACUUCUGCGCUGGACUCGCUCCCGGGCCUCGUAUUUAUUGUUUCAUUUGUUGUUUUGUAAUGGGUUUUCUAAAGUUUUGCUAUGGAUUUCAAAUGCAUAGCUGAGAAGUUAAUGAUCGUCUAACUUUCUUGGGGGACGGGGAAGAGGAAUGGAAAAGCAGGGAGGGAGACUUCCUCCUGCGCUGGCUGUAGUGAGAGGAGGAACUGUAGGAAGGCCGUGAAUUAAGUGUUCCACAGAGAAGCAACACGCUUGGGCACUUCUGCAAUAAACACUGCGUUAUUAACA
Molecule: long non-coding RNA, 2171 nt
Organism: Apteryx rowi (Okarito brown kiwi)
Lineage: Eukaryota; Metazoa; Chordata; Aves; Apterygiformes; Apterygidae
Product: myo-inositol 2-dehydrogenase-like
Source: Ensembl